UACGUAGGGUGCAAGCGUUGUCCGGAAUUAUUGGGCGUAAAGAGCUUGUAGGCGGUUUGUCGCGUCUGCCGUGAAAGUCCGGGGCUCAACUCCGGAUCUGCGGUGGGUACGGGCAGACUAGAGUGAUGUAGGGGAGACUGGAAUUCCUGGUGUAGCGGUGAAAUGCGCAGAUAUCAGGAGGAACACCGAUGGCGAAGGCAGGUCUCUGGGCAUUAACUGACGCUGAGGGAAGCGGAAAGCAUAGGGAGG
RNAcentral lists this ribosomal RNA (249 nucleotides) under uncultured bacterium. RNAcentral describes it as "partial 16S ribosomal RNA". It matches the Rfam family "Bacterial small subunit ribosomal RNA", at positions 524 to 769 of the family's 1533-position model. The record is from RNAcentral.